UUGUUUAUGUAAUUGAACACACAAGCAUGCAAAAAAUAAGUGAAACAAACACCAGUAAAGACAGCUUUAAUGGCAAAAGCGAAAUCUUAAAACUACUUUGAUUCGAAACACGAAGAUUUGUUUCAGUGCGGAAAAGAUCAUUUUGAACAUGGGUCGAAGAAUUCUUGCCGACAAAUGUUGAGUGUUUUCUUACUUUGAGUGGCCCACAAGGUGUCAGAGAGACUGCAGCGGUCAAAGCUUAGGUAAAUCUCGUGAUAUUAAGUUAUUUGCUUGGUCAAAUAAGCAUCAAGAAAAUACUAAACACAAAUAAUGCUUGAAUUUAAUGCAGGGAAUUAUCUUCUGCAUAGCCUUUUUAAAAAACUUGUGAUCUCAGUAAAACUUUUAAUUCAUUCUUUCAAACAAAAAAGGCAUGUUCUGCUUUGGAGAUCAGAUAACCACUAGCGAAACUCAAGCUCAGUCCUUAUGUCUACUUCUCUUACAAUCUUCAAAAUAUUUUUAUAUUCAAAUGGUAAAAGAAUGAUACUUAUUGAGGAGUUUCCAAAUGUGAGUAAGGGAUCCAACCAUUAUUCAUUGCAUUCUAAGGUAUGCAUUUUUUUCAUGCGUUUGUUUUUACUUUAUAUUGAAAAUUCAUGAAAAAAUAUUUUUCU
Parasteatoda tepidariorum (common house spider) is the source of this 647-nucleotide non-coding RNA. The record is from RefSeq and is a predicted model, not a curated record. Lineage: Eukaryota; Metazoa; Arthropoda; Arachnida; Araneae; Theridiidae.